RNAcentral lists this ribosomal RNA (506 nucleotides) under uncultured bacterium. RNAcentral describes it as "partial 16S ribosomal RNA". It matches the Rfam family "Bacterial small subunit ribosomal RNA", at positions 28 to 523 of the family's 1533-position model. The record is from RNAcentral.
GAUGAACGCUAGCGGCAGGCCUAACACAUGCAAGUCGAGGGGCAGCACAUAAAGUGGUUUACUACUUUUGGUGGCGACCGGCGGACGGGUGCGUAACGCGUAUGCAACCUGCCUCCAACAGGGGGAUAACGGAGAGAAAUUUCCACUAAUACCCCAUCAUAUCAGAAUCGGCAUCGGUUUUGGUUGAAAACUCCGGUGGUUGGAAGUGGGCAUGCCUUGUAUUAGAUAGUUGGUGAGGUAACGGCUCACCAAGUCAACGAUACAUAGGGGGACUGAGAAGUUAGCCCCCCACACUGGUACUGAGACACGGACCAGACUCCUACGGGAGGCAGCAGUGAGGAAUAUUGGUCAAUGGGGGCAACCCUGAACCAGCCAUGCCGCGUGCAGGAAGACGGCUCUAUGAGUUGUAAACUGCUUUUACAAGGGGAUAAAUCGGUGUACGUGUACACCGUUGAAGGUACCUUGGGAAUAAGGAUCGGCUAACUCCGUGCCAGCCGCCGCAGUAA